The submitters of this non-coding RNA (247 nucleotides) gave its source as unclassified sequences. The record is from Rfam.
UAGUAGUCUGAUGGAUUGAGAAAUGAAGGACGAGAAGUUGAAGCGGAUUCAGCGAGAGUGGAAUGAUAAAUAUGUUGCGUAUGAUAAUAACCCAUAGAGGACAGAGCGACUGUCCUUAUCCUCAAAACUGGCUAAAGGAGGAGAUAGUGUUUCAAACAUUGAAAUGCGUCAUGUGCCUGUUCCCGAAGAUGAUAACAUCUUCUUGUACACGGGGCAGUAGGUCGUAAUAAGAAAUCGUGUACCUACA